CGAUUCUGGCUCAGGAUGAACGCUAGCGGCAGGCUUAACACAUGCAAGUCGAGGGGCAUCGGGAGUAGCAAUACUGCCGGCGACCGGCGCAAGGGUGCGUAACGCGUGAGCAACAUGCCCGUAUCAGGGGGAUAAUCCAUGGAAACGUGGUCUAAUACCCCAUAGUAAUUAUGUAAGGCAUCUUAUAUAAUUUAAAGCUUUGGUGGAUACGGAUUGGCUCGCGUGACAUUAGCUAGAUGGUAAGGUAACGGCUUACCAUGGCUACGAUGUCUAGGGGUUCUGAGAGGAAGGUCCCCCACACUGGAACUGAGACACGGUCCAGACUCCUACGGGAGGCAGCAGUGAGGAAUAUUGGACAAUGGAUGGAAAUCUGAUCCAGCCAUGCCGCGUGCAGGAAGACGGCCCUAUGGGUUGUAAACUGCUUUUGUAUGGGAGCAAUAAGGGCUACGCGUAGUCCGAUGAGAGUACCAUACGAAUAAGCACCGGCUAACUCCGUGCCAGCCGCCGC
Molecule: ribosomal RNA, 508 nt
Filed under: uncultured bacterium
Lineage: Bacteria
Description: bacterial SSU rRNA
Rfam family: Bacterial small subunit ribosomal RNA
Source: RNAcentral